AUUGAACGCUGGCGGCAUGCUUUACACAUGCAAGUCGAACGGUAACAGGCCUUCGGGUGCUGACGAGUGGCGAACGGGUGAGUAAUGCAUCGGAACGUGCCCAGAGGUGGGGGAUAACGCAGCGAAAGCUGUGCUAAUACCGCAUGUGAUCUGAGGAUGAAAGCGGGGGACCAAGCAGCAAUGUUUGGCCUCGCGCCUCUGGAGCGGCCGAUGUCAGAUUAGGUAGUUGGUGGGGUAAAGGCCUACCAAGCCGACGAUCUGUAGCUGGUCUGAGAGGACGACCAGCCACACUGGGACUGAGACACGGCCCAGACUCCUACGGGAGGCAGCAGUGGGGAAUUUUGGACAAUGGGCGCAAGCCUGAUCCAGCAAUGCCGCGAGCGGGAAGAAGGCCUUCGGGUUGUAAACCGCUUUUGUACGGAACGAAAAGGCUCUGGCUAAUACCUGGGGCUGAUGACGGUACCGUAAGAAUAAGCACCGGCUAACUACGU
This 491-nucleotide ribosomal RNA is filed under the name uncultured bacterium. RNAcentral describes it as "partial 16S ribosomal RNA". It matches the Rfam family "Bacterial small subunit ribosomal RNA", at positions 30 to 506 of the family's 1533-position model. The record is from RNAcentral.